GCACCACCAACUUUAGAUCCCUAGUUCAACAGUUCACUGGCUGCCAUAAUACUUAUAAAGGUUCUAAUUCUUUUGGGACUCAAAAGGGUCCACUCAACUUGAAUUUUGGUAUGCCAAGGAACCAAAAUGAGCAUCAUAAUCAGCAAGUUCUUGGAACAAGUUCUUCUUCAAGAAUUGCGCCUUUCGGGUGCGGUUUUUAUAAUCCACAGCCGGCUCAGCAGCAAGAACAACACUGGCAUAAUCAGCAGCAACAACAAGAACAUCAAGAAAUGUACACCAAGCAAGCAGCUAGUAACAUGCAGAGUGGGAAUUUGGAUGAUUUUGCUAUAGAUGAUGUUUCUGAUCUACAAGAACUUAUGGACGAGUCUUCUUCUUUCAGUGGGAGUAGGAAGGAUGGUUACUACUUUUGAGGGCGGGCGUAUCUGAAAAUUAAUUUUAUUUUUUUUACAUUUUGCUAAAGAAAACUUUUGAGGGUAAGUGGAAAGUUAAUAUAUCACCUGCUGGCAAUGUAAAUAUUUUUUUUCCCAUGCAUUUAGGUUGAAAAACCUAAUCUAUGUUCAAACAAUAAAAAGGAAAUUGUAGCAACAAGCUAGUGGUAUAUAUGACUUUCCUUCUGGAAAUUAAUUAUACAUUAGUUAAUUGUUUUCAUGAAUCAUUUUUAUUUUAUUGCAUUGGAAAUUAAGAAACAAACCAUAAAGCUUCGAUCAUAGUAUUGAUUAUGAGAAGUAAUAUUUAAGCAUUUUGAUGUAAAAAUCACUACAUCUUCUAUACAUGCAUUCUAAUCAUGUGGAGUUCUCUUCAAUGGUAUUAAACUAUUAAUAUACAUUUUAUUUUUCCAUUUUUAGGUUCUUUGAGAAGAAAUAUAU
This 866-nucleotide long non-coding RNA is filed under the name Panax ginseng (ginseng). Its description in RNAcentral is "long non-coding RNA (PGIN_LNC013637)". Lineage: Eukaryota; Viridiplantae; Streptophyta; Magnoliopsida; Apiales; Araliaceae. The record is from RNAcentral.